RNAcentral lists this ribosomal RNA (751 nucleotides) under Halobacillus sp. KLBMP 2431. RNAcentral describes it as "bacterial SSU rRNA". It matches the Rfam family "Bacterial small subunit ribosomal RNA", at positions 53 to 786 of the family's 1533-position model. Lineage: Bacteria; Bacillati; Bacillota; Bacilli; Caryophanales; Bacillaceae. The record is from RNAcentral.
GCGGGAGCGAGUGGAUCCCGUUCGGGGUGAAGCUCGUGGAACGAGCGGCGGACGGGUGAGUAACACGUGGGCAACCUGCCUGUAAGAUCGGAAUAACCCCGGGAAACCGGGGCUAAUGCCGGGUAAUACUUUCUUUCGCAUGAAGGAAAGUUGAAAGAUGGCUUCUCGCUAUCACUUACAGAUGGGCCCGCGGCGCAUUAGCUAGUUGGUGAGGUAACGGCUCACCAAGGCGACGAUGCGUAGCCGACCUGAGAGGGUGAUCGGCCACACUGGGACUGAGACACGGCCCAGACUCCUACGGGAGGCAGCAGUAGGGAAUCUUCCGCAAUGGACGAAAGUCUGACGGAGCAACGCCGCGUGAACGAUGAAGGUCUUCGGAUCGUAAAGUUCUGUUGUUAGGGAAGAACAAGUACCGUGCGAAUAGAGCGGUACCUUGACGGUACCUAACGAGGAAGCCCCGGCUAACUACGUGCCAGCAGCCGCGGUAAUACGUAGGGGGCAAGCGUUGUCCGGAAUUAUUGGGCGUAAAGCGCGCGCAGGCGGUUCCUUAAGUCUGAUGUGAAAGCCCACGGCUCAACCGUGGAGGGUCAUUGGAAACUGGGGAACUUGAGGACAGAAGAGGAGAGUGGAAUUCCACGUGUAGCGGUGAAAUGCGUAGAUAUGUGGAGGAACACCAGUGGCGAAGGCGACUCUCUGGUCUGUUUCUGACGCUGAGGUGCGAAAGCGUGGGUAGCAAACAGGAUUAGAUACC